AGGAUGAACGCUGGCGGCGUGCUUAACACAUGCAAGUCAAGGGGGCCCAGCAAUGGGCAACCGGCGAACGGGUGCGUAACACGUGAGCAACCUACCGAAUUGUGGGGGAUAGCCGGCCCAACGGCCGGGUAAUACCGCAUACGCUCGAGACGAGGCAUUUCGACUCGAGGAAAUUUACGGAGCAAUUCGAGGGGCUCGCGGCCUAUCAGCUAGUUGGUGAGGUAACGGCUCACCAAGGCGACGACGGGUAGC
This 252-nucleotide ribosomal RNA is filed under the name uncultured soil bacterium. Its description in RNAcentral is "partial 16S ribosomal RNA". It matches the Rfam family "Bacterial small subunit ribosomal RNA", at positions 26 to 287 of the family's 1533-position model. The record is from RNAcentral.